RNAcentral lists this ribosomal RNA (504 nucleotides) under uncultured Granulicatella sp. Its description in RNAcentral is "partial 16S ribosomal RNA". Lineage: Bacteria; Bacillati; Bacillota; Bacilli; Lactobacillales; Carnobacteriaceae. The record is from RNAcentral.
CACGUAGUUAGCCGUGGCUUUCUGGUUAGAUACCGUCAGGGCGCUAACAGUUACUCUAGCACUUGUUCUUCUCUAACAACAGAGUUUUACGAUCCGAAAACCUUCUUCACUCACGCGGCGUUGCUCCGUCAGACUUGCGUCCAUUGCGGAAGAUUCCCUACUGCUGCCUCCCGUAGGAGUUUGGGCCGUGUCUCAGUCCCAAUGUGGCCGAUCACCCUCUCAGGUCGGCUAUGCAUCACGGCCUUGGUGAGCCGUUACCUCACCAACUAGCUAAUGCACCGCGGGUCCAUCCAUCAGCAGAAGCUUGCGCCUCUUUUCCUCUUCAAACCAUGCGGUUCGAAGACCUAUGCGGUUUUAGCAUCCGUUUCCGAAUGUUACUCCCCCUCUGAUGGGCACGGUUACCCACGUUGUUACUCCACCCGUUCGCCACUAGAUUGACCAGUGCAAGCACUGGUCGCUCUCGUUCGACUUGCAUGUAGUUAGGCACGCCGCCAGCGUUCUCCG